UACGGGGGGGGCAAGCGUUGUUCGGAAUUACUGGGCGUAAAGGGCUCGUAGGCGGCCAACUAAGUCAGACGUGAAAUCCCUCGGCUUAACCGGGGAACUGCGUCUGAUACUGGAUGGCUAGAGGGUGGUAGAGGCGAGUGGAAUUCCUGGUGUAGCGGUGAAAUGCGCAGAUAUCAGGAGGAACACCGGUGGCGAAGGCGGGUCUCUGGGCCGAUACUGACGCUGAGGAGCGAAAGCGUGGGGAGCGAACAGG
This 253-nucleotide ribosomal RNA is filed under the name uncultured bacterium. RNAcentral's name for it is "partial 16S ribosomal RNA". It matches the Rfam family "Bacterial small subunit ribosomal RNA", at positions 524 to 776 of the family's 1533-position model. The record is from RNAcentral.